This is a long non-coding RNA of Ipomoea nil (Japanese morning glory), 140 nucleotides long. RefSeq lists it as uncharacterized. The transcript is spliced from 3 exons. Lineage: Eukaryota; Viridiplantae; Streptophyta; Magnoliopsida; Solanales; Convolvulaceae. The record is from RefSeq and is a predicted model, not a curated record.
UAGUCCUACUCUAGCUAGGACUAUAUCUUGUAUUCCUAUAAAUAAAUCUCUUCAUAUACUUUGUUGAUACGAUUGAUUAAUAAUAAAACUCUCUCUAGAAAUUCUUGUUCUCAUAUAGUAUUACUCUUAAAACCAAACCC